This 57-nucleotide transfer RNA is filed under the name Achelia bituberculata. Its description in RNAcentral is "tRNA-Tyr". Lineage: Eukaryota; Metazoa; Arthropoda; Pycnogonida; Pantopoda; Ammotheidae. The record is from RNAcentral.
UAGUGAAUUCUUAAAGUAAUAAAUUGUAAAUUUAUUUAAGAAAUAAAUUUCUAUUAC